GAUGAAGAACGCAGCGAAAUGCGAUAAGUAAUGUGAAUUGCAGAAUUCAGUGAAUCAUCGAAUCUUUGAACGCACAUUGCGCCCGCCAGUAUUCUGGCGGGCAUGCCUGUUCGAGCGUCAUUACAACCCUCAGGCCCCCGGGCCUGGCGUUGGGGAUCGGCGGAAGCCCCCUGUGGGCACACGCCGCCCCUCAAAUACAGUGGCGGUCCCGCCGCAGCUUCCAUUGCGUAGUAGCUAACACCUCGCAACUGGAGAGCGGCGCGGCCAUGCCGUAAAACACCCAACUUCUGAAUGUUGACCUCGAAUCAGGUAGGAAUACCCGCUGAACUUAAGCAUAUCAAUAAGCGGAGGA
Molecule: unclassified non-coding RNA, 352 nt
Filed under: soil metagenome
Description: partial contains 5.8S ribosomal RNA, internal transcribed spacer 2, and large subunit ribosomal RNA
Rfam family: 5.8S ribosomal RNA (bases 1-120)
Source: RNAcentral